GCCUGCUUAGCUCAAAGGUCAAAGCACCGCACUUGNAANG
RNAcentral lists this transfer RNA (40 nucleotides) under Chionoloma orthodontum. Its description in RNAcentral is "partial tRNA-Thr". Lineage: Eukaryota; Viridiplantae; Streptophyta; Bryopsida; Pottiales; Pottiaceae. The record is from RNAcentral.